This 601-nucleotide ribosomal RNA is filed under the name Fellozyma inositophila. Its description in RNAcentral is "partial large subunit ribosomal RNA". It matches the Rfam family "Eukaryotic large subunit ribosomal RNA", at positions 57 to 655 of the family's 3401-position model. Lineage: Eukaryota; Fungi; Basidiomycota; Microbotryomycetes; Chrysozymaceae. The record is from RNAcentral.
AAAAGAAACUAACAAGGAUUCCCCUAGUAACGGCGAGUGAAGCGGGAAGAGCUCAAAUUUGUAAUCUGGCACCUUCGGUGUCCGAGUUGUAAUCUCGAGAAGUGUUUUCCGCGCCGGACCGCAUAUAAGUCUGUUGGAAUACAGCGUCAUAGUGGUGAGAACCCCGUAACUGAUGCGGAUGCCCGGUGCUUUGUGAUACACUUUCGAAGAGUCGAGUUGUUUGGGAAUGCAGCUCAAAUUGGGUGGUAAAUUCCAUCUAAAGCUAAAUAUUGGCGAGAGACCGAUAGCGAACAAGUACCGUGAGGGAAAGAUGAAAAGCACUUUGGAAAGAGAGUUAACAGUACGUGAAAUUGUUGGAAGGGAAACGCUUGAAGUCAGACUUGCUAUUUGGAGUUCAGCCGCAAGGUGUAUUCUUCGAUUUGCAGGCCAGCAUCAGUUUUCUGGGGUGGAAAAGGGUAUUGAGAAGGUAGCAGUUUCGGCUGUGUUAUAGCUCUUUGCUGGAUUCAUCCUGGGGGACUGAGGAACGCAGCGCGCUUUUUGCAAGGCCCUCGGGCUUUUCGUGCUUAGGAUGCUGGUGGAAUGGCUUUAAACGACCCGUCUU